CCUACGGGAGGCAGCAGUAGGGAAUCUUCCACAAUGGGCGAAAGCCUGAUGGAGCAACGCCGCGUGGGUGAAGAAGGUCUUCGGAUCGUAAAACCCUGUUGUUAGAGAAGAAAGUGCGUGAGAGUAACUGUUCACGUUUCGACGGUAUCUAACCAGAAAGCCACGGCUAACUACGUGCCAGCAGCCGCGGUAAUACGUAGGUGGCAAGCGUUAUCCGGAUUUAUUGGGCGUAAAGGGAACGCAGGCGGUCUUUUAAGUCUGAUGUGAAAGCCUUCGGCUUAACCGGAGUAGUGCAUUGGAAACUGGGAGACUGGAGUGCAGGAGAGGAGAGUAGAACUCCAUGUGUAGCGGUGAAAUGCGUAGAUAUAUGGAGGAACACCAGUGGCGAAAGCGGCUCUCUGGUCUGUAACUGACGCUGAGGUUCGAAAGCGUGGGUAGCAAACAGGAUUAGAUACCCGGGUAGUC
This 465-nucleotide ribosomal RNA is filed under the name uncultured bacterium. RNAcentral's name for it is "partial 16S ribosomal RNA". It matches the Rfam family "Bacterial small subunit ribosomal RNA", at positions 338 to 795 of the family's 1533-position model. The record is from RNAcentral.